Molecule: long non-coding RNA, 659 nt
Organism: Oryctolagus cuniculus (rabbit)
Lineage: Eukaryota; Metazoa; Chordata; Mammalia; Lagomorpha; Leporidae
Source: RefSeq, a predicted model, not a curated record
CUACGGUGGGCGGGAGGGGACGAUCGUCGCGGCCUUCCCAGCCGCGCAUGCGCACAACUCAAGACGCUCAGCUUCACUGCGUCUUUGUGGAGAAAGUAAUUGAAAAGUUCUGGAGGUUCAAGGAUAUGGCACUGGCAUCAGCAAUGAUUCUACUCUGAGUUCCAUAAGACAAAGUGUUUACCUCUGUUUUAUCUUAAUGGCAGAGUGGACAGUGAGAGAGACAUAGAGAAAGGUCUUCCUUUGCCGUUGGUUCACCCUCCAAUGGCCGCGCUGAUCCGAAGGCAGGAGCCAGGUGCUUCUCCUGGUCUCCCAUGGGGUGCAGGGCCCAAGGACUUGGGCCAUCCUCCACUGCACUCCCGGGUGGGAUCUGUCCUUAAUGUGUUGUCCAAUGUGAAGUAAUGCUAUAACUAGUACUGAAACAGUAUUUAACACUUUGUGUUUCUGUGUGGGUGCAAACUGAUGAAAUCUUUACUUAAUAUAUACUAAAUUGAUCUUCUGUGUAUAAAGAUAAUUGAAAAUGAAUCUUGAUGUGAAUGGAAUGGGAGAGGGAGUGGGAGAUGGGAGGGGUGCGAGUGGGAGGGAAAUUAUGGGGGGGGGAAGCUGUUGUAAUCCAUAAACUGUACUUUGGAAAUUUAUAUUUACUAAAUAAAAAAUAAAAA